CUGGCCCAUCCACCCAGUUCGGUGCCUUUCCCUGCGCGUGUGUGCGCUACGAACGACCAGGAUUUGGACGAACCUGUCCGCGGCCCCUUUCCCCAACUUUGACGAACCCUAGGCGAGGCCGGUGGCCGCGUCCCUGCCCGUCGGCGCCGCCCGCCGCCAUCGCUUGCCAUCGUCGUGCUAUCCAUCCAGCCGCCCCAGUCCCCUUCUGCGCCUCUGCCUAGACACCUAUGCAACCGCCCGCCCCCAGCCCCCUUCUGCGCCGCUGUGGGCUGCUGCCCUGUCCGGCGAGGCGGCGACCCCGGCGAAGUGUCGGCGAGGUGGCCCUUCCCAGGAGACGCCUUUUUCUCAGCAGCCGCAACACAGAGAAAUUGGACAGCAGCAAGCCAGCAAGAGGAAAGCGCAAAGGAAUUAGGAGGGCAAGAUGAGUAAAAGGAACAUGACAUUGAAUUCUUUUUUCCAAGUUGGAACCACGGGAACAUUUAGUAAUUUUGUUUCUAUAUUAUCAAGACUGGAUUGAGGAACAAAAUGCGUGAUGAUUGGAUGAAUCGUAGAAGGGUAUGUUACAUUGAGCGAGAUGUAUUUGUUAGCAUUGAAGAAUCAAAGAUCAUCGAGCGAUUUCAAGGUUAUCGUAAUCGCAAAGGCGUUUUGCCUCGUCCUAGACGUAAGUUUUCAAAUUUUGCAUCUAUUAUUAACUAGUUUUACCGGUUAUACUAUGCACGGAUUUGCAUUUUUAAAUUUAUCAUUGAAGGUAUAGGUUCUUCUGCUAUUGAAGAUGUAGUCAUGGGAGGCUCAGAUCAACCUAUCAUUUGAUUUGGUAUAAAUCUUUUGUCGUCUAUAUAUGCUACAUAUUGUCUUUUGAUUUGUCUUGCUUUAUUAUCAUGCAACAAAUGCUGCCAUUGAAUAUCAUGUUUGGUUUCUUUUUAGUUAUGCAACAUAGAUUGACUUUUGUAUGCUGAA
Molecule: non-coding RNA, 957 nt
Organism: Aegilops tauschii subsp. strangulata
Lineage: Eukaryota; Viridiplantae; Streptophyta; Magnoliopsida; Poales; Poaceae
Source: RefSeq, a predicted model, not a curated record